This 1623-nucleotide long non-coding RNA is filed under the name Panax ginseng (ginseng). RNAcentral's name for it is "long non-coding RNA (PGIN_LNC007348)". The record is from RNAcentral. Lineage: Eukaryota; Viridiplantae; Streptophyta; Magnoliopsida; Apiales; Araliaceae.
UAAAUUGUAAUAUGGUAUAUACUUUUUAAGUCCCGUAUUAAGAAACUAUACCUCUAUUAAAAGAGUACAUUUCCUAUAAAGGACUACAUUUUCCUAUAAAAGACUAUAUUUCCUAUAAAAGACCACAUUUCCUAUAAAAGAAUACAUUUUCCUAGCUUGAAAAUCUAAAUAAUUUAUGUUUUCUUUAACUUUGCAUAAAUAUUUUUUGAAUAAUAUUUAUUAGGGAGUUCUUGAUAUUUUUGUUAAAGUGAAUAUUUUUGGGUAUUUGGAAAAUAUUUUGUACUAAUACCUCUAUUUAAUAAUAACCUCUCAAUUAGAUUAUAAAUAGUUUGGUCCCAAGUCUAUUCCUAAAUAGAGGUUUUACUGUAUAUCCAACCCAUUAUCCUAAGUUUGACCCUCACAUGUCACUAAUAAAAUAAUAGUAUACAUAUUAUAUAAUCCAUCUAAUCAGAUCAUUUAAUCAUAGUUGCUUUCAUUUUUGGAGUAAACUGUAAAGCAGAGAAGUGACCAGAGAAGAAGAAAGAAAAGCAGAGAAGUGACCAAAGAAGAAGAAGAAUCGCGACUCGCGACCAAAAACUAAAUAGCAGAGAACCAAAAUAAAAACAGCGUCGUGACUCGCAACCAGAGAAAAAGAAAGAGAAAAGAAUAAGUGAUCGGAGCUGUGGGUCGAUCGUCGGUCGGAGUUCCAGACCUCCUGUACUCUCUCUCUCUUCCCCUUCUACUCUUCUACUUCAACUGCAAAUCGAUUAGGGACAUCGUUUUUUUUAAAACUUAGGUUGAUCCAUACCCCCAACAAAUCCAAGUCACUCGCUCAGCUCGUCUAAGUCGUCACCGAGGCGUCCAUGUCGACAACUUGCUUUAUUAGGCGCUCAACUUUCAAACAGCCACCAAGUCACCCAACUGCUUUGUAUUUGUCGAACCGAAUGGACGCCUUAACAAACUAUGGCGAUGAAAUAGUUUAGCUGUUGAAAACUAGACUAGAGCUCAUGCUGAAAAGAUGGAGAAUUACAUUAAAAUGUAGCCAAUCUGAGAAGGCAAACCUUUGUUAAAGCUAGAAGAGAAUUGUGGUAAAACGCACUUGUGCCACCUUUUGCUUAUGAGAAAAGUAACUUGUAAAAAAAUCUUUAGCUUAUGAAAAUGGAAUAUCAAUGAAGAUUCCUCAUUAAAUAGGCUUGAAUUGUUGGUGACAUUACUCAAAUUAUUUUAUAUUGUAUUUGUUUGUACAUAAAAUUGUUUGCUAUGUAUAUAUUUCAUGAUUAGGUAUAGCUCCAUUAGGUGGUGAAGAAUUAUUAUAUCUUACUGUAGCAUGUUAAUUGAAUAAUGAGUAUAUUUGUACUUAUAAAAAAGAGAGUAUAUCUAUAAAUGUUAACUGUCACUAUUGCGCAUAUGUUUUUUCUUGUUCUUUUCAACUGUGAAUUGUAGAUUUUGUUAUAUGAUGAGUUUACUAUUUAUAAUGGUCAGUUGAUCACCUUAGUCUUGAAGCUGUUCAAAAGUUUGCUCCGCUAGCUCACAGGGCCUUCCACACCCCAGUUUGACUACAAGAACAAACAAGACCCUUAAUUUGAGUUUCCUCUUCAACAGAUCUAUGUGACCACCAGAGUCUUGUUCAAUUUGGUAGGUAAU